CUACAUAACUUAUAUUCGACGAAUCUCGACGAAAGUACAAAAUCGAUGUGUGGUGUAAAAUUUCUUCUAAUAAAUAUUGUGGUGUUGGGACAUUUAUGCGUGGUAAUGUUGUUUCCCACAAUAACAGAUAAAUAUUCCAAUAUCUUCAAGAGUGUGGAUCUUCUUUUAUUCGAAAUUAUUCUCCAAGGCCUCACUACGAUAGAAUCAUUCUUCUUCUACAGCGGGUUUAUGGUAAUGUAUCUGAGACAAAAAAGUGGACGAAACUCUGCGAAAUAC
Centruroides sculpturatus (bark scorpion) is the source of this 276-nucleotide long non-coding RNA. RefSeq lists it as uncharacterized. The transcript is spliced from 3 exons. Lineage: Eukaryota; Metazoa; Arthropoda; Arachnida; Scorpiones; Buthidae. The record is from RefSeq and is a predicted model, not a curated record.